GGCGAACGCUGGCGGCGUGCUUAACACAUGCAAGUCGAGCGGUAAGGCCCUUUCGGGGGUACACGAGCGGCGAACGGGUGAGUAACACGUGGGUGACCUGCCCUCAGCUCUGGGAUAAGCCUGGGAAACCGGGUCUAAUACCGGAUAUGACUCCAUGACGCAUGUUGUGGGGUGGAAAGCCUUGUGCGGCUGAGGAUGGGCCCGCGGCCUAUCAGCUUGUUGGUGGGGUGAUGGCCUACCAAGGCGACGACGGGUAGCCGGCCUGAGAGGGCGACCGGCCACACUGGGACUGAGACACGGCCCAGACUCCUACGGGAGGCAGCAGUGGGGAAUCUUGCGCAAUGGGCGAAAGCCUGACGCAGCGACGCCGCGUGAGGGAUGACGGCCUGGUU
Molecule: ribosomal RNA, 392 nt
Filed under: uncultured bacterium
Lineage: Bacteria
Description: bacterial SSU rRNA
Rfam family: Bacterial small subunit ribosomal RNA
Source: RNAcentral